RNAcentral lists this ribosomal RNA (253 nucleotides) under uncultured bacterium. RNAcentral describes it as "partial 16S ribosomal RNA". It matches the Rfam family "Bacterial small subunit ribosomal RNA", at positions 524 to 776 of the family's 1533-position model. The record is from RNAcentral.
UACGUAUGGUGCAAGCGUUAUCCGGAUUUACUGGGUGUAAAGGGAGCGCAGGCGGCACGGCAAGCCUGAUGUGAAAGCCCGCGGCCCAACCGCGGGACUGCAUUGGGAACUACCGGGCUGGAGUGCCGGAGAGGUAGGCGGAAUUCCUAGUGUAGCGGUGAAAUGCGUAGAUAUUAGGAGGAACACCAGUGGCGAAGGCGGCCUACUGGACGGUGACUGACGCUGAUGCUCGAAAGCGUGGGGAGCAAACAGG